This 245-nucleotide long non-coding RNA is filed under the name Gossypium barbadense (sea-island cotton). RNAcentral describes it as "long non-coding RNA (GBAR_LNC001463)". Lineage: Eukaryota; Viridiplantae; Streptophyta; Magnoliopsida; Malvales; Malvaceae. The record is from RNAcentral.
ACGGUGGUGCUGCCGGCGGUGGACGGUGCUAGUGUGACUAAGGAGGCCACGCCCGUAUGGGGGCUAGUGUGGGCUGAUGGUGGUGAUUGGGGGAGGACACGGGCAUGGGGGGUGAGGCCGUGUGGUGCACUGUGGGGUGGAGUUGUGGGUAUGAUGAAGAGUUGAAAAGGAAAAGAAAAUGGAAGGAAGAGAUAGGGGCAGGAAGAAAAUAAAAGAAAAGAAGAAAGGAGAGCUAAGGAUGGCCG